AUCCGGAUGAUGAAUCCCACAUAGAACGAAAUGCACAUCCUGGAU
RNAcentral lists this non-coding RNA (45 nucleotides) under Trichobilharzia regenti. The record is from RNAcentral. Lineage: Eukaryota; Metazoa; Platyhelminthes; Trematoda; Strigeidida; Schistosomatidae.